GAUGAACGCUAGCUACAGGCUUAACACAUGCCAGUCGAGGGGAAACGCCAUCGAAAGCUUGCUUUUGAUGGGCGUCGACCGGCGCACGGGUGAGUAACGCGUAUCCAACCUGCCCAUCACUUGGGAAUAACCUUGCGAAAGUAAGACUAAUACCCAAUGACAUCCCACGAAGACAUCUGAAUGGGAUUAAAGAUUUAUCGGUGAUGGAUGGGGAUGCGUCUGAUUAGCUUGUUGGCGGGGUAACGGCCCACCAAGGCAACGAUCAGUAGGGGUUCUGAGAGGAAGGUCCCUCACAUUGGAACUGAGACACGGUCCAAACUCCUACGGGAGGCAGCAGUGAGGAAUAUUGGUCAAUGGGCGAGAGCCUGAACCAGCCAAGUAGCGUGCAGGAUGACGGCCCUAUGGGUUGUAAACUGCUUUUAUAAGGGAAGAAAGUGGGUCUCGUGAGACUUUUUGCAUGUACCUUAUGAAUAAGGACCGGCUAAUUCCGUG
RNAcentral lists this ribosomal RNA (492 nucleotides) under uncultured bacterium. RNAcentral describes it as "partial 16S ribosomal RNA". It matches the Rfam family "Bacterial small subunit ribosomal RNA", at positions 28 to 507 of the family's 1533-position model. The record is from RNAcentral.